CCCUUAGAUGUCCUGGGCCGCACGCGCGCUACGCUGAUGCAUGCAACGAGUUUAUAACCUUGGCCUGAAAGGUCUGGGUAAUCUUUUGAACGUGCAUCGUGAUAGGGAUAGAUUAUUGCAAUUGUUAAUCUUGAACGAGGAAUUCCUAGUAAACGCGAGUCAUCAGCUCGCAUUGAUUACGUCCCUGCCCUUUGUACACACCGCCCGUCGCACCUACCGAUUGAAUGGUUCGGUGAAGAUCUCGGACUUCGAUAUUUAUUCUUUAUUGAGUUUAUAUUGUGGGAAGUUAUCUAAACCUCAUCAUUUAGAGGAAGGUGAAGUCGUAACA
Molecule: ribosomal RNA, 328 nt
Filed under: uncultured eukaryote
Lineage: Eukaryota
Description: partial 18S ribosomal RNA
Rfam family: Eukaryotic small subunit ribosomal RNA
Source: RNAcentral